This 460-nucleotide ribosomal RNA is filed under the name uncultured bacterium. Its description in RNAcentral is "partial 16S ribosomal RNA". It matches the Rfam family "Bacterial small subunit ribosomal RNA", at positions 338 to 795 of the family's 1533-position model. The record is from RNAcentral.
CCUACGGGAGGCAGCAGUGAGGAAUAUUGGUCAAUGGACGAGAGUCUGAACCAUCCAAGUAGCGUGAAGGAUGACUGCCCUAUGGGUUGUAAACUUCUUUUAUAUGGGAAUAAAAUGUUCCACGUGUGGGAUUUUGUAUGUACCAUAUGAAUAAGGAUCGGCUAACUCCGUGCCAGCAGCCGCGGUAAUACGGAGGAUCCGAGCGUUAUCCGGAUUUAUUGGGUUUAAAGGGUGCGUAGGUGGUUUGUUAAGUCAGUGGUGAAAGUUUGCGGCUCAACCGUAAAAUUGCAGUUGAUACUGGCAGUCUUGAGAACAGUAGAGGUGGGCGGAAUGCGGGGUGUAGCGGUGAAAUGCUUAGAGAUCAUGAAGAACUCCGAUUGCGAAGGCAGUUCACUAGACUGCAACUGACACUGAGGCACGAAAGUGUGGGUAGCAAACAGGAUUAGAUACCCUUGUAGUC